This is a non-coding RNA of Varroa destructor (honeybee mite), 2135 nucleotides long. NCBI's taxonomy places the organism in Eukaryota, Metazoa, Arthropoda, Arachnida, Mesostigmata, Varroidae. The record is from RefSeq and is a predicted model, not a curated record.
CCAUUGUCGAAGUCAGUGAUAAAUGCACGAAUUCAUCAGCUAGAGAAAAUCUAUCGAUGCCGCAAUUAUACGAAAGUAAAUAGUGAGAAUGGGACCCUCACCAGCUUAGGAUUGAAACUAAUAUGUGUUUUGCUUUUAUAGCGAUAGAAAGGGCGGCAGUGUGAAGCAGCUACGUGGAUGGCCCGAUGUCGUCAGAAAACGUCGUGCGCUACACGAUUUUUUCCACAGAUUGCACCGUAAUGCACUAAGUGGCAAGAAGCACGCUAGAAAAAAUGCCGAUGAUGUAUCAGUGAUAACCAAACCGGUACGAAGUCUCGCUUCGGCCGCCGUCAAUUCGUAUCGAUUGGUGAAUCUCUCUCACUCACAAUGGUUCAUUCGAGUAGGAUACAAGGUAAACAUGGAAUGGAACCAGCUUCAUGAUCGACACUUAAAUUUUAUCUUACAGCUACGACCAUAAACAUUAAAAGCUUCACGGAGGUCUAGAGAAAAUCACGGACAUCCGAGCCGCUGAAUCCCCGCUUCCUAUUAACUUCCGCGAACCAAAGUUUACGUUAUUUUAGUGAAAGUUACUCGCGUUAUUGACGUUUCACCAUAUCUCAACGGUUGGCACGCGUUUGGCGUAUCGAUCUGACCCACUGACGGACAGACUGGUGACCACGGCCUUGUUUUACGAAUUAGUGCAUAAAACGAAGUUCGAUGAAUAGACUAAAAGAGGUUUACGGUGAAGUAAAUAGCCUGUAUGCGCUUCUGGGCGUUGAACCUAAUGCGUCGGGUGAUGAAAUUCGCAAGGCGUACCGACGCCUUGCCCUUAAAUGGCACCCAGACAAAAAUCCCGCUUGUAAACAAGAGGCUGAGCGACAAUUUCGUUUGAUAUCUGGUGCAUACGAGGUGCUCACCGACUCCAAACGCCGAAGAGACUAUGAUAAUAAUCUGGCCGCUCAGUUCAACCAGCCGUUCCGUCAUCAUGCCGAUGUCCCGAAUUAUAUGUAUACCGGCGCUAUGAUGGCCUUUGACGAGCUGUUAUUUCUUCUAAAUCUUUAUCCCCAGCAGACAUUUAUGAGCAACAACAUGGGCUAUUUCACUAGAGGAGCUAUCUUCAAAGACGUCCAAAAAGUGACCACCAUGCAAAACAGUCAAAAGUUCGAGAGAAAGACAGUGAUUGAGAACGGUCGGGAAACUGUUGUCUUCAAACACGACGGUCAUAUUGUAGGGCGGCAUGAACGCAUCCUACCGUUUCAAGCAGCGCAACACUGCAACACCUACUUCUUCGAUUUGUCUCGGCCACAACCACAAGGCAUUAAUACGUUCCAUAUCUAUCCACAACCAUUACACGCCACUUGUGGUCAGCCUGCAGGACCACAAGUGUUCUGCUCGACAUAUGUGCCCCCCCCAGUUACCACGGUACCCGGUGCCCCGCCACCGGCGGCACCACCAUCACCAUCACCACCACCACCGCCGCCGCCGCCGCCGCCGCCACCGCCGCCACCGCCGCCACCGCCGCCGCCGCCGCCGCCACGUUCAACACGGUCACCCCCAGCACCCGCUAUCCACGUGUCUGUUCUACGAACCUGCCCAAUCCCAGACCGUUCCUGCGAUAGUGUCGGAUGCCGGUGAUCAGCCGGAUGAUUCAGGUGAGGACAAGGCCGUAGAAGACGAAGUAAUGCUAAACGAUACUUGUGACGGACGCGGUACUUACACUGAGUACGACCCGGAUGAUGGUUGUGGUGACGAUGAUGAAGGGGGAUGGCCAGUAUAGCAAAUCGGCAUCCCCGUGACGGCACGGUAAGAACGUCUACCGGGAGGCCUAAGUGGAUCGGGGCGAAAAUGAGCGUUAACAUGAGCAUAAAAUGAAUGCAACAAGGUUCAACGAUUACGUGAAAGCGUCUACUCAGCUUUGUUACUGCCGCCCUGCAUACACGCAAAAAUUGAAGCGAGAUGGGUUUGUUAUACAACGAAAUGGAACGUAAUGGUACUGCGACAGCCUUUAAUUGGAUCACACACAUGCGUGCUGCGACUAGAAGUAAUAUUAACAAAUUGCAGGGAAACGAUAAACGAAUGAAAGGACAAUAACGUACGCUUAAAUACGUUUUGGCAAAUAAAUUGAGACUAUUGAAUAAGGCUGCUGAAUUAUACUU